AUAUUUUAUAUUUAUUAAAAGUAACUAUUGUUUUAAUAAAAAGUAAUUAUGCAUAUGAAGAAAUGUAAUAUUUUAAUAUUAUUACUUUUUUCACAAAAAUUGUUAUUUUUACUCACGAAAACUUGUAAUUUUAAUAUUUGGUUAAGUAAUUAUAGUCGUAAGAAAAAAUAACCAUUAAUGUGAAUAAAGGUAAUAUUAAAAAAAGCAUAAAUAAAUGGGGAAAAUAGAAAAAUGUUUAAAAAGUGUUGAAAAUAAAAAAUUAAACAAAAAAAGGCAUAAAACAAAAAACUGAAGAAAAAUGAAAAAAUGAAAAAGACAAAAAACUGAAAAAAGAAAAAUAAGCAAAAAAGGAACCAAAAGAAAAAGAAAAAAGAAUAAAGGAAAAAAACGAUAAAGUGAAAGAGGAGCAAAAAAAAAUCGAAAAAAAGAAAAAAAAAUAGAAGCAAAAAAUGGAACCAAGAAAAACAGGGCAAAGGGAUUCAAACCCUUGCCCACUUGGAAGAAUGCACGCAGUCAUUACCAGUGCACCAGAAAUUACUUUUGGUUUUGUGUACUAAAACCUUUUAUAUAAAUAUUGGAUCCGGGUCUGGUUGGACCC
Molecule: long non-coding RNA, 598 nt
Filed under: Salvia miltiorrhiza (redroot sage)
Lineage: Eukaryota; Viridiplantae; Streptophyta; Magnoliopsida; Lamiales; Lamiaceae
Description: long non-coding RNA (SMIL_LNC004267)
Source: RNAcentral